CCAAUAGCGUAUAUUAAAGUUGUUGCAGUUAAAAAGCUCGUAGUUGAACUUCGGGGUCUACCCAUUGGUCAGGCUUAAUUGUCUGCACUGGUGAGAUGGAUCUCUACCUUCUGAGGAACUUUCAUGCCAUUUAUUUGGUGUGAUGGGAAAUCAGGACUGUUACUUUGAAAAAAUUAGAGUGUUUAAAGCAGACUAUCGUCUGAAUACAUUAGCAUGGAAUAAUGAAAUAGGACGGACUGAUUCUAUUUCGUUGGUUUCUAGGAUCACCGUAAUGAUUAAUAGGGAUAGUUGGGGGCAUUAGUAUUCAAUUGUCAGAGGUGAAAUUCUUGGAUUUAUUGAAGACUAACUACUGCGAAAGCAUUUGCCAAGGAUGUUUUCAUUAAUCAAGAACGAAAGUUAGGGGAUCGAAGACGAUCAGAUACCGUCGUAGUCUUAACCAUAAACUAUGCCGACUAGGGAUCGGACGAAGUUAAUUUUAUAAUGACGCGUUCGGCGCCUUACG
Molecule: ribosomal RNA, 502 nt
Filed under: uncultured Glomeromycotina
Lineage: Eukaryota; Fungi; Glomeromycota
Description: partial small subunit ribosomal RNA
Rfam family: Eukaryotic small subunit ribosomal RNA
Source: RNAcentral